This 460-nucleotide ribosomal RNA is filed under the name uncultured bacterium. Its description in RNAcentral is "partial 16S ribosomal RNA". It matches the Rfam family "Bacterial small subunit ribosomal RNA", at positions 338 to 795 of the family's 1533-position model. The record is from RNAcentral.
CCUACGGGUGGCAGCAGUGAGGAAUAUUGGUCAAUGGACGGAAGUCUGAACCAGCCAUGCCGCGUGCAGGAAGACGGCCCUAUGAGUUGUAAACUGCUUUUGUACAAGGGUAAACCUGAAUACGUGUAUUCAGCUGAAAGUACUGUAAGAAUAAGGAUCGGCUAACUCCGUGCCAGCAGCCGCGGUAAUACGGAGGAUUCAAGCGUUAUCCGGAUUUAUUGGGUUUAAAGGGUGCGCAGGGGGAGUGAGAAGUUAGGGGGGAAAUGUCCGGGCCUAACCCGGGAACUGCCUCUAAUACUGUUGACCUAGAGAGUAGAAGCGGUAGGCGGAAUGUAUGGUGUAGCGGUGAAAUGCUUAGAGAUCAUACAGAACACCGAUUGCGAAGGCAGCUUACCAAUCUGUAUCUGACGUUGAGGCACGAAAGCGUGGGGAUCGAACAGGAUUAGAUACCCCAGUAGUC